AGAACCUCACCACCUCAAAGCCAGAGACUGACUCCGGGCCACUCUCCAGCUUAGGCACAGCAGCCACGGCUGUUUCUGGCUCCGUUGGGGUUCUGGCCCUCCUCUUGCUCCUGGUGGGUCUCUUGUCCAUGACCCUGAAGAAAUGGAGGCACGAGAGACUAUUUAAGAAACAGCUGAGACAUCAAACCAAAUUUCUCCACAAAUCCUCGGAGCUUUCCUGCCACGCUGACGCCAUAUAUGCCAACGUGAUCAACCUGGCCCCCUGGAAGGAGGAUGACUGCGCAGUCUAUGCCAACGUGCCCUCUUUCGACCGCCCCAGGAGGGCUGCGCCGGACCAAGUGGAAUAUGCAGCCAUUGUCUUCCACUGAUGGGAGGGAGCUGGAGACGCUGCGGGCCAAGGAGGCCCGCUCCCAAGACCCUGGCGUGGCUUUUCCUUUAAAGGGGGAAUGCGUGUGUGUGCGUGUGUGUGUGUGUGUGUGAGUGUGUGUGCAUGUGUUUUAAUGCAUGAAACAUUCUGAUGGCGGUAGAUGACUGGAUAUUUCUUGUAAUUUACUGGCAGCAAAGUGAAGUUCUAAUCAAAAGGAGCAGCAUAUGAAAGACAGAAGGACCUGCUGUUCCCAGAAGCAGCUCCCUGAGGUAGCCUGGCCAACAGAGGAGCCCAUCAAGAUGCCCCCUCUGAGGCCAGGCUGAGGGCAGGGUCCACUCUGUUCAAGAACCAGAUGGGAUUUGCCUCUCAUGCCCUGCAGGGUCAGGAGCCUAUUGACCACAUAGGAGUGAUUCAGCGUCAUCUCUGGGGCUGAGGGGUAUGAGUGCAGGGACCUGUGUGUCCACUGCUGGACAGGACAUCAGGCCUUGGGGGUGGGACGUGGGGGUGCAGCAACAUGAGAGGCACUUCUCAAGGGCGGAAUGAGAUAGGGUGAGCUCCCACAGAGAAUGGACGGCCAUUUGGGGCAGUAGCGGUGGGACAGGACUGCCCAGGGGAGCUUUGGGGAGCUUUGGAAGAUGCCUGGAACUUUGUAACUGGGUCACUCUUUCUUUCUUCAUUUAGAAACACUCAUGAAAUACCAUGUUCUAGACCCUGGAAGUACAGCAGGGACGCCAACAGACAAAACCUUGAGUGGUGGGAUGUAGGGAGCUCUGGGUGAAGCAAGCUGCUGUUUCAGUGUGGAGAGUCAAAGAAGUCCUCCCUGAUGCUUGACCUGUAGGAAAUGAGAAGUGAGAUCUGAGAAUAAAUGGGGAAGAGCAUUUCAGGCAGAAGGAACAGCAAUACACAGGCCCUGAGGCGAAAGUUUACCUUACAUGGUCAAAGAACAGAAGGAGGCAGGCAUGUCUGCAGAGGGGUGGUGUCAGGGAACGAGUUCUGGGAAUCAGCGUCUUGUUUCACCUCAGUGCAGAGCCCCUGUGCCGCCAGCGGUGCCCCUUUCCUGCCACUGUCACUCACUAAGCUCCAGAUUUCACAGGAGUCACUCAGAGAACACUCCAGGACCUGAUUCUUGGUGUCCACGCCACCCUAACCCUGUCGUCGUUGUUGUCGAGGGAGACUUGUGGCCAUGUAAACAGUGCUCCCGCGCCUGAGCACAGUCCCUAAGGCGUGAGCUUCUAGUUAUCAAAGAUGCCACUGGGUGUCGAUAUGGAAGGAUGAAAUGAGAUCAAUGACCAAACAAGUUUGCAAGAUGGCGAGUAAGCAAAGAGCAGUGAAGAAAAGAAAAUUUCACUUAAAACCAAAGCUGACAGAAGCCACUUCCACCUUCUCCAGAGGGUGCCUUUUCACGUUGUUAAGAAAACAUGUAUUCUCCACCCCUGGGGACUGAGGGAGGAGAUGGUAGAAAGGGUGCAGGGAAAUUUUCGAGAUUCUGCCACCUUUUCGUCUUGAUAAAGGGCAAGUCCAGGAGUUGGUGCUGUUUCAGCGGAGAUCACAUGCCUGGCUCGCCAGGGGCUUUUCCUAGUGUUCACUUGUCCCAGCAAAACUAUUAUUAGGUCAACUCUCACUCCCCAAAGGGUCACAUUUUGGAAGAUAAUUCUUGUGGUCGCUGUUAACAAGACUUUGAACGUACAAAAGUAGGCCCAAGAGCAAAUAAGGGAAGAGAUGGUGUUUACUACAAUAAAGUGAGGAGAAUAGACCUGGGGUGGGAGCAGAGGAGGCUGCAAGAAUAGGAGAGGAAAGUUGUUUUUUUUUUUUUAAGAUUUAUUUAUGCAGACAAGAGCUGGGGUGUAGGCCAGAGUUGUAGGUGUGGAUGAGAGAAUUCGCCAGAGAUAGAGUGGGGAGCAGAACAGAGGAAUCCAUUGAGAUACACUGCUGAGGGGAGCAGUGGGUGAGAUAGAAGAGGUCUGCUGUGCCAUGUGGGUAGCUCCCUGGCUGGGGAUCAAACUUGUGUUGCAGUGGCUGCAGAUAGCUUCAUAGUGCUGAUGCCUAACCCCUUGUGCCACCAGAGAGGCCUAGGAGAGGAAAGUUUUGAGGGGAAAAGGGACUGAAAACACAGAAAAGACUUCGGGCUAGCUUGGGGGAUCCUGGGGAACACACAGCACCUUCUGUGGGUGUUUUAGGGAAGGGAAAAUCAUUGUCAGGGGACUGAAUCCACAUCUGUCAGCACAGAGCAGAAAUAAGGGAAGUGGUAAGAGGUGUGAUAUGAAUGAUGUAGACAAUUUGGGACAACUUUGAGCUGGAAGUGAUCACAAGAACACAACCCCCCAGAAAAUUCUCAGAAAUCUCAGGAAGGCAACAGAGUUUCCAAAGAACCUGCCUUUGGGAGAGUAAACCAAUUGUUUGGUAUUUUUGUUUGUUUUUUAUUGAGGUUACAUUGGUUUACAACACUGUGUAUAAUUUAAGGGGGUAGGUUCACAUCUCCUUAGAUGUGUGUUGCCACCCCACAUCUUGCACCAAAGUACCCAUAGCCCUCCACCAUAGACCAUGGGGUCCCUCCCUUCAGUUUCCCCCACUGACAGUCCCACAAAAUAUAAGCAUCCUGCAUACAAUGCCAGUGAUAAUGCAGUUGAGAGACCCUACUCUGGGGUCUUCCUGGAGCUCCUGGGGAGCCUGCCUUGUGCUGCCUCCUAUAGAUAUUUUAACAUGAAAAUGUUCCCCCAAGCUUGAGACCCCUGGAGAUUCCAACAACAGUAAAUGAACACUAAGUGGUGAUUUAAAAAUCCCAGAAACUGGAAGAAUGGAUGACCAAUCAGCCAGUCCAAUUUCCUGGGAUGCCCCAGUUUUAGCACAGAGCAUUCUAGAACCCAGGAAGCCUCUUCAUCAGGGCUGCUAGCAGCCGGGGCUCUCUGAUACUUGAAGAACUUUGUGACUUUAGAGCAAGCAGUUUCCCUUCAGUUAGGUGGGGAGAAUUUGGACAUUUCCAGAUGAAGCCCUGGCUGGGCACUAAGACACAGACACAUGCCUGCAGCUUGUCCCCAGAAGUCGUCCAUGACCUACCCGCUUUGCAGGGUGACUGUCUUCCUCUCCUUACCCCAAACCUUCCAUGUCUCCUGCAUGAUCUACUCUCACAGAUGCUGCUCAGUGUAUUUUGCUGAAUAGGUACUGCUCUUCUAGAAGGUUCUUGGAAAUUUUGGUCAGUAGACUGAGGAACUUCAAGACAAUUAGCCAUAUGGCAGUUACUUUUCUCCCAGGAAAAUAUAAUUCUGUAAGACUGUGAAUAUCCCCCAAAGAGAAUGUGUCUAAGUUUUAACAAGGACAGGGAUUCAGAACAUGGAAGCUUUGCAAGGUCUUGAGAGAAAUCUGCAUGUUGAAAAUGCAGCUCAUUGGUCUCUUAAUGUUUCUAUUAGAGGAUAGAAAAAGCCAGCUUCUCAGUGCCCAUAAAGGAGGAAUAUUUUAUCAAAGCAUAAUUUUACAAUUACUGGCUCUUGGUGAUAAUAAA
Molecule: long non-coding RNA, 3863 nt
Organism: Talpa occidentalis (Iberian mole)
Lineage: Eukaryota; Metazoa; Chordata; Mammalia; Eulipotyphla; Talpidae
Exons: 4
Source: RefSeq, a predicted model, not a curated record